Long non-coding RNA from Bradysia coprophila, 180 nucleotides. Lineage: Eukaryota; Metazoa; Arthropoda; Insecta; Diptera; Sciaridae. The record is from RefSeq and is a predicted model, not a curated record.
UUACACAUUUUUUGAUCGGUGAUGAUAAAAUAAAAUUAUUUUUGAAAAACAAGUCUAACUUGUCAAGUCAUACGAUUCACUCGUUCAACAAAUUGGUUAUGCAGUUGUCGUUCAAGAAGUGUUUUUUGUUAGCUUAAAAGAGCUUCUGCGAGCUUUUUGUUUUCGAUUUCAAUUACAAAA